This is a long non-coding RNA of Austrofundulus limnaeus, 328 nucleotides long. RefSeq lists it as uncharacterized. The record is from RefSeq and is a predicted model, not a curated record. NCBI's taxonomy places the organism in Eukaryota, Metazoa, Chordata, Actinopteri, Cyprinodontiformes, Rivulidae. The transcript is spliced from 2 exons.
AUACCUGCAAUAGUAAAACCUUUAUGUGUUACUAAACACAACAAUUUAAGAGGCUGGAGGCUCAUCAUUCCCACUUUUUUUCUUUUUGUAACCUCGCUUCUGCAGCUCUGCCCUCCAGUCAUCAUAAGACUGAGUUYCAGAUUUUUCGCAGUACCAGUUCCCAAAGUACUGUUUGUAGCUUCAGGAAGUUGCUGUGGUCCAGCCAUGGGUGGAUCUGGAGCUGGGAUACCCUGCAUCAAGAUGUUCUUCUCCAGUGAUCUGUAACGCCUGCUGUACCUGUGGAAACAUCAAKUAAAGAAGUUAAAAUAAAGAAAUUUAUGUAAACACA